AACGAACGCUGGCGGCAUGCCUAACACAUGCAAGUCGAACGAGACCUUCGGGUCUAGUGGCGCACGGGUGCGUAACGCGUGGGAACCUGCCCUUAGGUUCGGAAUAACUCCCCGAAAGGGGUGCUAAUACCGGAUAAUGUCUUCGGACCAAAGAUUUAUCGCCUUUGGAUGGGCCCGCGUUGGAUUAGCUAGUUGGUAGGGUAAAAGCCUACCAAGGCGACGAUCCAUAGCUGGUCUGAGAGGAUGAUCAGCCACACUGGGACUGAGACACGGCCCAGACUCCUACGGGAGGCAGCAGUGGGGAAUUUUGGACAAUGGGCGAAAGCCUGAUCCAGCAAUGCCGCGUGAGUGAUGAAGGCCUUAGGGUUGUAAAGCUCUUUUACCCGGGAUGAUAAUGACAGUACCGGGAGAAUAAGCUCCGGCUAACUCCGUG
Molecule: ribosomal RNA, 433 nt
Filed under: uncultured bacterium
Lineage: Bacteria
Description: partial 16S ribosomal RNA
Rfam family: Bacterial small subunit ribosomal RNA
Source: RNAcentral